Molecule: ribosomal RNA, 1276 nt
Filed under: uncultured bacterium
Lineage: Bacteria
Description: bacterial SSU rRNA
Rfam family: Bacterial small subunit ribosomal RNA
Source: RNAcentral
AGCGAAGCAUAUAACAUGAAGUUUUCGGACGGCUUGUUAUCUGACUGAGCGGCGGACGGGUGAGUAACGCGUGGGUAACCUGCCUUAUACAGGGGGAUAACAGUUAUCAAUGACUGCUAAUGCCGCAUAAGCGCACAGUACCGCAUGGUAGUGUGUGAAAAACUCCGGUGGUAUAAGAUGGACCCGCGUCUGAUUAGCCAGUUGGCGGGGUAACGGCCCACCAAAGCGACGAUCAGUAGCCGACCUGAGAGGGUGACCGGCCACAUUGGGACUGAGACACGGCCCAAACUCCUACGGGAGGCAGCAGUGGGGAAUAUUGCACAAUGGGGGAAACCCUGAUGCAGCAACGCCGCGUGAGUGAAGAAGUAUUUCGGUAUGUAAAGCUCUAUCAGCAGGGAAGAAGUUGACAAAACAUGAUUAAGAAGCCCCGGCUAACUACGUGCCAGCAGCCGCGGUAAUACGUAGGGGGCAAGCGUUAUCCGGAUUUACUGGGUGUAAAGGGAGCGCAGACGGCAGCGCAAGUCUGGAGUGAAAGCCCGGGGCCCAACCCCGGAACUGCUCUGGAAACUGUGCGGCUAGAGUACUGGAGGGGCAGGCGGAUUUCCUAGUGUAGCGGUGAAAUGCGUAGAUCUUUGGGGGAGCACCAGUGGCGAAGGCGGCCUGCUGGACAGUAACUGACGUUGAGGCUCGAAAGCGGGGGGGGCCUUUAGGGAAAGGUNCCNUGGUNGUCCNCGCCGUGNGCGGCCCUUUAUGGUGUGGGGGAGCAAAGCUUCCCGGUGCCGCCGCAAACGCAUUAAGCAUUCCACCUGGGGAGUACGUUCGCAAGAAUGAAACUCAAAGGAAUUGACGGGGACCCGCACAAGCGGUGGAGCAUGUGGUUUAAUUCGAAGCAACGCGAAGAACCUUACCAAGUCUUGACAUCCCCCUGGCCGGACCGUAACGGGUCCUUCCCUUCGGGGCAGGGGAGACAGGUGGUGCAUGGUUGUCGUCAGCUCGUGUCGUGAGAUGUUGGGUUAAGUCCCGCAACGAGCGCAACCCCUAUCCCCAGUAGCCAGCAGUAAGAUGGGCACUCUGUGGAGACUGCCAGGGACAACCUGGAGGAAGGCGGGGAUGACGUCAAAUCAUCAUGCCCCUUAUGAUUUGGGCUACACACGUGCUACAAUGGCGUAAACAGAGGGAGGCGAAGGAGCGAUCCGGAGCAAACCCCAGAGAUAACGUCCCAGUUCGGAUUGCAGGCUGCAACCCGCCUGCAUGAAGCUGGAAUCGCUAGUAAUCG